UUGAGUUGUCUAGCAUUGUUUAUAAAUUAAUGAUUAACCGUCCCACAAAAUAAAAUGCAAUUGGAAGCACGUAAACCCAGACGUCGCCGGAAAUUAAAUGAAAAAAAGGAAAUAGACAAAGAAAAAAGGGGCAUAUAUUUAAUAAUAAAUUAUAAAUGUUUUAAAUACAGUAUAUCACUCCGGUUCUCGCUUUUAUUGUUUUAGCACAGGAAGCAACAACAUACAACAGAGGCAUCAUCGUCAUCAUCAGCAAACAAAAAACAAAUAUAAAAAAAAAAUAAAGAGCUAAAAAAGAGUCAAAGCCCGAGACUCUUCUUCUUUCGGUUUUCGAUAACCCUAAUUUAAUUUUCUGAAUCCAAAAUUUUCCUUCUCUCGUCGCUCGCUCGCCCGCCCGCUCGGUCGCUCGCGAAAUCCAAAUCUUUCCUUCUGUUCCCAUUCUAUCCUUAACUUAUUUUGUAAUUUACGAUUUUGCCAUCAAAACCCUAGCUUUACUGGUAUGUCCAAAAAACCUCACCUUGAGUAUCUGCAAUAGCUAACUUGACCCUGGAAAUUGGAGCUAUGCAUAAACCCUAAUUUUGAUUUAUGUUCAGUUUAGGUUGUUUUUCGUUAUAGAUUUUUUGAUUUAGUCUUUGAAUUCGUGGUUAGCAAGUCAAAUUAUAUUGCUGCAGUUCGGAAUUUGUGUGAUUCACUUUGAUUAUUGUGCUUUUUGUGGACGUGGUGUUGUUUGUUCUGCUUUUGAUUGAUUUUUCUGUUUCGCUUUGGUUUUUAACUGAUCCUGGAUUUCGGUUAGGAAUUUUAGGAGGGAAAAAAUUCGAAUUUUGAAUAUUUUUUAUUGAUUUAGGAUUUGUACUUGCAGAUCAAAGCGUUUUGAUUAAUCUGUUUCUGUUUUUCUUUCUGGCUGAUGAUUUUGGGUAUGUAUUUGUAACUUCUUAGUGGUUACAUCUUUGAAAUGCUAGCUUUUAAUUAUUUUUCCCAUUUGAAAUUGUUUUUAUUUGAAAUUAUAGAGUAAGAAUUUAUUCCAAAUUUUGAUAUUUAUGGCCUCACCAUUUUAUUUUUGAUUGGAUAUUUCUUGUAGAUGGGCAGCAACUCCUAAUUAUUGGUUAUGUUCAACUCCCAUUUUAGUUAGGGCUUGCACCCUUUACUUGGUGUGCAUUGUUAAUGCUGCUGCUCCAAACUUUUGGGUUGUGUCAAUUGAAUGGUGCAAAGUUCCACAAAUACCUGGUUUUGAUGUGUCUGCAAUUUAGAGUUAACAGUUUUGACCUAUCCUCCAAAUAUCCUGUGAAAUUCCAUCUUGGAUUUAGAUUUGACCUAUCCUCCAAAUAUCCAGUGAAAUUCCAUCUUGAAUUUAGAUUUGACCUAUCCUCCAAAUAUUCUGUGAAAUUACAUCUUGGAUUUAGAACUAUUAUGCAGUAUAUUAUAUCAAUAGGGUGUAUAUAAGAACGUUUUUGGUUUCAAUUUGCAAAUUUGGAAUAUGCUCUCUUGGUUAUUUAUGUAAUUGUCUGUCGUUUAGUUAAGCUUCCCCUGUUUGACUUUUUCUUUUAAAAUAUAUGCACGUGC
RNAcentral lists this long non-coding RNA (1557 nucleotides) under Citrus maxima (pomelo). RNAcentral's name for it is "long non-coding RNA (CMAX_LNC002639)". The record is from RNAcentral. Lineage: Eukaryota; Viridiplantae; Streptophyta; Magnoliopsida; Sapindales; Rutaceae.